This 1241-nucleotide ribosomal RNA is filed under the name Bursaphelenchus rufipennis. RNAcentral describes it as "eukaryotic LSU rRNA". It matches the Rfam family "Eukaryotic large subunit ribosomal RNA", at positions 367 to 1443 of the family's 3401-position model. The record is from RNAcentral. Lineage: Eukaryota; Metazoa; Nematoda; Chromadorea; Rhabditida; Aphelenchoididae.
AAAAGUACUUUGAAAAGAGAGUGCAAGAGAACGUGAAACCGGUGUAAUGGAAGCAUAUGGAGUUGACGUAUCUGGUGCGUAUUCAGUUGUUGGGCAUUGUGAUUGCUGGGUUUGUUAUUCCGCAAGGUUGACGGCUUGGUUUUGUUGCAGUGUCUUGCGAUGCAUUUACGUACGGAGUGCGCCGAGUUGUGUGGUGAUGUCAAUCGAAGCUGAUCGAGAGGACAUGGCUUCGGCUGUGAAACCUUGGUUGUUGGAGGUUGAUUGUUGCUGCAUAAUUUUGUGGAGGCAUGGGUUUUUCGCGCGUUGGCGUGCUGAUUUGGCCGGUUCGUGUUGUACACAUGUGUGCGGCGCUUAUGGGUUCGGUCGGUGCGUUAGUGUGCUCUGUGCUCUUCUCGGUGUAUAGUCAAUGACCCAUUUGACCCGUCUUGAAACACGGACCAAGGAGUUUAUGGUAUACGCAAGUCAUUGGGCUUUGAAACCCAAAGGCGUAAUGAAAGUGAGAUCUUAUUGGUUUUAAUGUGAUCGGUUGUUGUUUCGACGGCUGCCGAGCAACAUUGCCCCGUUUCGAGAACUUGUUCUGUUGCGGAGGUUGAGCGUAUGCUAUGAGACCCGAAAGAUGGUGAACUAUGCCUGAACAGGAUGAAGCCAGAGGAAACUCUGGUGGAAGUCCGAAGCGGUUCUGACGUGCAAAUCGAUCGUCUGAUUUUGGUAUAGGGGCGCAAGACUAAUCGAACCAUCUAGUAGCUGGUUUCCUCCGAAGUUUCCCUCAGGAUAGCUGGUGCACAUUAUACAGAUAUACUCGGUAAAGCGAACGAUUAGAGUUCUUGGGAUGUAUUAUUCUCAAACUAUUCUCAUACUCUAAAUGGUUAUGAUGUUGGUGUUGCUUAAUUGAACACUGACUUUGAUUGUUGUGCUCCAAGUGGGCCAUUUUUGGUAAGCAGAACUGGCGAUGUGGGAUGAACCAAACGCGGAGUUACGGUGCCAAACUAUUCGCUCAUGAGACCCCAUGAAAGGUGUUGGUUGAUAUAGACAGCAGGACGGUGGCCAUGGAAGUCGGAAACCGCUAAGGAGUGUGUAACAACUCACCUGCCGAAUCAACUAGCCCUGAAAAUGGAUGGCGCUCGAGCGAGUGACCUAUACUCUGCCGUCGUUGAGACUUGAGCAAUCUCUCGACGAGUAGGAGGUACGUUGCGAUGGCGUUGAAGUUGCGGAGCGUGAGCUCGAAUGGAGCCGUCGCAAGU